RNAcentral lists this ribosomal RNA (90 nucleotides) under uncultured bacterium. RNAcentral's name for it is "partial 16S ribosomal RNA". It matches the Rfam family "Bacterial small subunit ribosomal RNA", at positions 1393 to 1482 of the family's 1533-position model. The record is from RNAcentral.
CCCGUCACAUCACGAAAGUGAGUUGUACUAGAAGUCGCCGCGCUGACCGCAAGGAGGCAGGCGCCCAAGGUAUGACUCAUGAUUGGGGUG